UGGCGGACGGGUGAGUAAUGUCUGGGAAACUGCCUGAUGGAGGGGGAUAACUACUGGAAACGGUAGCUAAUACCGCAUAACGUCGCAAGACCAAAGAGGGGGGCCUUAGGGCCUCUUGCCAUCGGAUGUGCCCAGAUGGGAUUAGCUAGUAGGUGGGGUAACGGCUCACCUAGGCGACGAUCCCUAGCUGGUCUGAGAGGAUGACCAGCCACACUGGAACUGAGACACGGUCCAG
RNAcentral lists this ribosomal RNA (235 nucleotides) under uncultured bacterium. RNAcentral's name for it is "partial 16S ribosomal RNA". It matches the Rfam family "Bacterial small subunit ribosomal RNA", at positions 96 to 334 of the family's 1533-position model. The record is from RNAcentral.